AUACGGAGGGUGCAAGCGUUAAUCGGAAUUACUGGGCGUAAAGCGCACGUAGGCGGCUUGUUAAGUCAGAUGUGAAAGCCCCGGGCUCAACCUGGGAACUGCAUUUGAUACUGGCAGGCUAGAGUAUGGUAGAGGCAAGUGGAAUUCCGGGUGUAGCGGUGAAAUGCGUAGAUAUCCAGAGGAACACCAGUGGCGAAGGCGACUUGCUGGACCAAUACUGACGCUGAGGUGCGAAAGCGUGGGGAGCAAUCAGGAUUAGAAACCCUAGUAGUCC
This 274-nucleotide ribosomal RNA is filed under the name uncultured bacterium. Its description in RNAcentral is "partial 16S ribosomal RNA". It matches the Rfam family "Bacterial small subunit ribosomal RNA", at positions 523 to 796 of the family's 1533-position model. The record is from RNAcentral.